CAAUAGCGUAUAUUAAAGUUGUUGCAGUUAAAAAGCUCGUAGUUGGAUUUCUGUGAGAGUGCCGGUGUCGGCUGAUGCUUGUACGCAGGCGCUCUUACAUCCUUCUGUUAACUGAUCUUGGCAUUUUAUUGCUGGUUCAGGGCUCAGAUAUUUUACCUUGAGAAAAUUAGAGUGUUUCAGGCAGGCUUAUGCCGGAAUACAUUAGCAUGGAAUAAUGGAACAGGACCUGUGCGUCUUUCGGGGCGCCGGUCUCCGUUAUUGGUUUCGGGGACUAAAGUAAUGAUUAAUAGGGAUAGUUGGGGGCAUUAGUAUUUAAUAGUCAGAGGUGAAAUUCUCGGAUUUGUUAAAGACUAACUUAUGCGAAAGCAUUUGCCAAGGAUGUUUUCAUUGA
Molecule: ribosomal RNA, 391 nt
Filed under: uncultured eukaryote
Lineage: Eukaryota
Description: partial 18S ribosomal RNA
Rfam family: Eukaryotic small subunit ribosomal RNA
Source: RNAcentral